AUUAGACAAAAAUAAAACCGUGUGAAUCGCACGCGGAGACUUGAGGAAAAAGAACAGAAAUAUUAAUACAUUCAAAGAAAUGCGGAGGAUCGUACGCAGUCGGCACAACCUUCGCUGCUGCGGAACGAACGAAUCUCGACGUUUUACAGCUCGUGCAGCAAACGAGUAAAAAUGAAAGGUCGGGAUUACGGCAUUGAAAACGAAGACCAUCGGUCAAUCAAAAAUCAAAUCCGUAGAGAUUGUGCAAUGUGGAUUUCUUAUUCUUCGAUUUACGGUUGAGUCUAAAUCCCAUUUCUCAUUCUCGAUAUUCUUAGAGAAAAUAAUUGUGAGGAUUUCAAUUUCUGUCUGCAGAAAAGUUCGACCUCUUGAUUUCGGAAAUUGAGCGUUUCGUGGGCAAAAAGCUGUUUUGCAUCGGGAGACUCGGCAAAGUUCCUAUAAAGCGUCGUGUACAUUAACGUUGUUUUUUUUGUCCGGCUGGCACAGACAGAAGUGAGGUAACGUAAUCGAGGUAAUAUAUAAUUCUGGCUACGGCCGGCGAGUAUCCGCCGUUCAUAACGAGGAAAUCAAUCAAAGUAUUUCUCUGGAUAAAUGAUCGGCUGACCGUCGCGCCCUAGAGAUUUGGAUCGCAGCGCGCAAACUUUCAAAGUCUAACAUAAAUCAUAUCGCAUUAUACCGUAGAGUUCCGCGCGCUUCGCUCGUAUUCGAUUACCGAACCAGACUCACUCGUCAGUCGCGAACGUAACUUUUCAAUUAGGAAAAGUCGCUUGAAUUUUUAUAAGGAAAAAAAUAAAAAGUCAUCACCCCACGAACAUCCGACCGGCGUACAUUGAAAUUUCGAAAGUUUCGAAGUAACGCGCGAGGGCUCGCGCGGUCUUCUUUUCAAAUUUGAUAAAAAGUACAUCUCGUUACACAGCGAUCGUUCGACUUGAAUGAUAAAUCGCUAAUUGGGUCAAUUAAAUCGGUCCACCGUGUGGCGUAUACCGCGUUAUUUUCAUUUCGUGUACACGCGUAGGUACAUUCGCAGAACGUUCACGAAGGAGAUAAAAACCUGCUGGACCAGUUAUUUCCGUUGCCGUUUAUACGAGUACGCGUUUAAUUCUCGACCAUUCAUUCCUCGCCGCUACGAACAAUUCCUUCCUCGCGUCGUUCGUUAACCGGAGAAUCACUAUAAACCGUAUGCCCUUUACAUGGUCGACGGCGAAAACCGGAAGUCCAUUUUCGCGUCGUACGUAGGAGUAGAAACGAGAAUUCCGAUUCGGGGUCUCCCCAUUUGAAUAUCUCACCGCAGAUAAGGCAGCUGACUUUACUCUCACCUGAUCUCAUCUACGCGCGACCUUAUAGUGCGUAAUAACAGCGACUCACCGUGCGUCCUAGAUUAAAUCGAGAAUUUAAAACCGAAAGAAAAAAAAAAAGGGAGGUCUCUCCGGUCGCGAUCCAAAAUUGAUAAACCCGCGAAACGCCGUCUUUCGAACCCCCUGGUGGUCGGAUAGCCGCGUGCGACGCAGCUAAUUUAAAAGGUGUCCAAUUUCAAUCGAUUUUUGUACACAGAAAUAAUUACUCUGAUCAGGACGAGCGAUCGAAGCUCUUGUUGAUACCGCGAAUAAUUUUUUCGGAUUUAUGCGCUGAAUGUCGCUGUAAAAUUUUCCAUUUUUCGCUUUUUAUUACCGAGGAACAAACGCGUUUUAAACGAGAUGCACCGUGUAUAAAUUUCGAAGUUACUCGAUAGAGGACGAGCAAGAUGACGAAAAAAAAAGACGAAGGAUGAGAAGAAGAGGAGGAAGGAGAAUAAGAAGAGGAACAUUUUCAUGGGCAUCGGUGGUACGGUGCGGCAAAUUAAUGCGAAGAUUGUGGAAUAAUUUCGAAGUGCCUCGAGCACCGAGAUAAAAAUUAAUAAUUUAUGAAGUCGGGCGUUUUUUGGUCGGGUCGAGUGAUCUCGGCGCGCAAUUAAAAUAGAAAAUAUAUUAAUUAUCAUCGAUCUAUGGGAUCCCAUGGAGCUUCUCCCAAAUUGACUUUCUGUUUAUACGUGCGGGAUCGUCGACAUCGAUUAUCAGGCCCAUCCUCGAGAAGAAAGUUGAAAAAUUCAAUCCGGUGUGACAGUAUCCAUUUAAAUAUGACGACGGAACAAUCUGCAGGGGACCGCUGAGAAACUGGUUGACGGAUAAUUCGCAGUCGGCAGCUGAAAAUCCGCGAGGGGAUUAUAAUCGACCGCGGAAAGCGCGAACUGAAUCCAAGAUGAUACCCUCAAAGCAUCUCCGCCCUGCAACUAGUAAACAAGACUCGUCGGUGCAUCUGCGUAGUUGUUCAUUAUAAUUGUAAGCCAGAUAAGAAUAGAUCCGAAUACGUUAGUUAUCACAUAGCCAUAAAUGAUACUUCCUGCAAUAAUUGUGAUGAGACUUUGAUUGUGAAUGAAGAAUUCUGUCAAUAUGAUUGUAACAUAUUUGCUGUAAAAAAAACUACUUUAUGAGAAUAAAUACAUGACA
Long non-coding RNA from Athalia rosae (coleseed sawfly), 2480 nucleotides. RefSeq lists it as uncharacterized. Lineage: Eukaryota; Metazoa; Arthropoda; Insecta; Hymenoptera; Athaliidae. The transcript has 3 exons. The record is from RefSeq and is a predicted model, not a curated record.